This is a long non-coding RNA of Hevea brasiliensis (rubber tree), 1385 nucleotides long. RefSeq lists it as uncharacterized. NCBI's taxonomy places the organism in Eukaryota, Viridiplantae, Streptophyta, Magnoliopsida, Malpighiales, Euphorbiaceae. The transcript is spliced from 2 exons. The record is from RefSeq and is a predicted model, not a curated record.
UCGGAUCCUUGACCUAAUUUUUUGACCUAUUUAUCAACUCUUUUCUGUGAUUUUCUCUUUUUCACUAGGUUCGCAAUAGUUCUUAGGACCGCGGCGUCACAUUUUCCGGUUCAAAAGUAGGGUUAGGACUGACCUCGCAGUCACUUCCCGGGCUUUUCUAGAUGUCUUAAAUAUGGUUCUCAUCUCCUUAAUUGUCCGGACUGACACUGAUCACCGAAACAGUGUAAUAUACCAGGCUAUGCAUAUAAGGCUGUUGCAGUUCUGCCUAAUGAGGCAUCGAGGGAGUGGAUGGUGAGGCGAUUCUGAGAUGGUGGCAAGGUCCUUGGUUGCAGGCCAUGGAUGAUGGUGGUGAUUGGCAUGGUGAGAUGCUACGCUUUGUGCAAUGGUGCUGAGGCUGCGAGGGGUAUUGCAGGUGAGAGAGGCAGAGCUCUCAUAGUUUUUGGGUUUUAUUCCCUUCAGGGGAAUUUUGGAUGAGAUUCAAGUGGGCCUUGUGUGUGUGGCUAACAAUGAAGGGGUAUUGGAGACGGGGGAGAUAUGACGGUGGAGAAGAAAAAGAGAAGAGAAAAAGAAGAAAUGGGGAAAGAGAAAUAUGAGGCGGUUGUAGAAGAAAGAAAAGAGAAUAGAUUGGUUGGGUUGGAUGUGUUUAUGGUGUGAAAUGAAUGGUUGGGAUUUAGAGAUUUAAUCCAAUGGUCUUGGUCCGGUUUGGUUAUUGUGGUUUUUUAUGCUGAAAAUUGAAUUGAAUUGAAUAGACCAAAUUUUCUAAAAGUCAAAACCAAAGUGAGUAACUUAAUAAAUCAAAUCAAAUUUCUGAAUUAGGGGUUGUUUGGUUUGAAUAGCGCUCAUCCCAGGGAAAUUUUUGGAUAUUUGACUGGUUUGAUUUUUAGAGAUAGUUGAUUGUUGGUUUCCUCAAUGAUCUCACACGCGCACGCACACAAAGAGAAAUGGUUUGUCCUAAAACACUGCAUUCUGAGGUGUCAAGUGACUCUUUCCAGCAACCUAGAUUUCUUGACCCAUCAUUCACUUGAUCAAUCCGAAAGGCUCAAUUGCAUGAUUGGUUAUAAUUUUUCAUAAUGAAAUUUGCUUAAUUGAAUGAUAUACUAUGUCAAGUUGUACUUGUGUGGUACAAGUUAAACCACCAGAUAAUUAUUUAUCAAAAAAUUGUCUCAUACAAUUAUUUUAAUUUCACUGCGUGAUUGAUACAAAUUCUCAUUGGUAAUGCUUUCAUGCAUCCAGGUGAAAUUCCAUUUUGCCUGUGAUUUUUUAUAUUCUUGCUGAAAGUUGGCUGUGCCUCUUCAACUAAUCCUAACACCUCAUGUUGAUUGUGUUUUAAUCCUUGGAAGUUGUAUUGGAACUAAUAAUGAAUUUAUAUUUCUAUUUUAUGUUUA